UUGGCAUUUUCAUCAUAAGCUUUCAUCUUCUAAUGAACUCCGUUGUUAUGAUGAAGUCCUUAGGACAUUUAGAUUCGAUAAAGAGAGGAUUUAUCGAUUAGUCCUUAAAACUGUUCACGACCAAAUGAUAAGCUGUUAAUAAGGACGACAGCUUCUAUCGAGCAUAGGUCGCUGUAGGCCAUAUGGGUUGGUUGUCCUCUUAACAAAGGAGUGUGGAGACACUGGUAUGGCAUACAAGUGAGAUGUAAGGGUACAUCAUCAUUGAACGUGACCAACUCCAGAGUAUUCUACUGUCGAGAAUGUCUCUGAUGGGAUAUAGGUAUAAGUGUCCCUUAGACUUGAGAUCGCCUCAGUGACUUGCAAGCAACUCACUGUGCUUUGGUACUGGACUAACUGAAUUUUUAAUUCAGGGACGGAAGGCUUCUGGGCACAGUCAAGUACUUGCGAAGUCAGAGUGUGAUCGAGAUGGGAUUGACCACUCCAAGAGUUGGAGAAGAAUGAGUCGCUGUAUUUCAAUUUAGCAAAACCUUGAUCAGGGUAAUCCAUCAGAUGGAU
RNAcentral lists this long non-coding RNA (555 nucleotides) under Elaeis guineensis (African oil palm). RNAcentral describes it as "long non-coding RNA (EGUI_LNC081806)". The record is from RNAcentral. Lineage: Eukaryota; Viridiplantae; Streptophyta; Magnoliopsida; Arecales; Arecaceae.